RNAcentral lists this ribosomal RNA (468 nucleotides) under uncultured bacterium. Its description in RNAcentral is "partial 16S ribosomal RNA". It matches the Rfam family "Bacterial small subunit ribosomal RNA", at positions 28 to 507 of the family's 1533-position model. The record is from RNAcentral.
GACGAACGCUGGCGGCGUGCUUAACACAUGCAAGUCGAACGGAAAGGCCCUGCUUUUGUGGGGUGCUCGAGUGGCGAACGGGUGAGGAACACGUGAGUAACCUGCCCUUGACUUUGGGAUAACUUCAGGAAACUGGGGCUAAUACCGGAUAGGAGCUCCUGCUGCAUGGUGGGGGGUGGAAAGUUUCGGCGGUUGGGGCUGGACUCGCGGCUUAUCGGCUUGUUGGUGGGGUAGUGGCUUACCAAGUCUGUGACGGGUAGCCGGCCUGGGAGGGUGACCGGGCACCUUGGGCCUGAGAGACGGAGCAGUGGGCAACGGUAGGCAGCAGUGGCGAAUAUUGCACAACGGGCCGAAGCCUGAGGAAGAAACGUCCCGUUCGUGAUGACGGCCUUUGGGUUAUAAACAGCUUUCGCCUGUGACGAAGCGUUAGUGACGGUAAUGGAUAAAGAAGCACCGGCUAACUACGUG